CAAAUCUCUCACCACUGCUUGGUUAAACACGGUGUUACCUGGCUGUGUAGCACUGUGGCAAGCGGUCUACUAAUCCUGAUUGGAUUCUAGGAAUACCAGCAAUGGGAUGGCUGCCACCUGCUGACAGGGAGAAUGGAGGAGGCCAAGGUCAAGCCCAGGGGCAGCCUGCCUUGGUCCUAAGUGUGAGCGGCUGGUGGAGAUGAGCCAGGAGGAGGCAGAAGCUGGUAAGGAGGCUGGUUUUGCCUAGUACAAGGAUUGUUACCAGGGCUCCAUGAAUAGGCUUGGGGCAGUGUCUCAGCCUCUCGAAUGGCCUGUAAAUGUAUGGGCCCAUGGGUGCAUAUGCUUUUUUCUAGGAAGCAGGUUCAUCAUUUUUAUUAGUGUCAUAAUAAUCCAU
This 394-nucleotide long non-coding RNA is filed under the name Homo sapiens (human). Its description in RNAcentral is "HSALNT0049161". The record is from RNAcentral. Lineage: Eukaryota; Metazoa; Chordata; Mammalia; Primates; Hominidae.